RNAcentral lists this unclassified non-coding RNA (1486 nucleotides) under Phialemonium thermophilum. Its description in RNAcentral is "Acremonium thermophilum sequence contains ITS1, 5.8S rRNA gene, ITS2 and 28S rRNA gene". The stretch from base 571 to 1486 matches the Rfam family "Eukaryotic large subunit ribosomal RNA", at positions 1 to 934 of the family's 3401-position model. Lineage: Eukaryota; Fungi; Ascomycota; Sordariomycetes; Cephalothecales; Cephalothecaceae. The record is from RNAcentral.
GCGGAGGGAUCAUUACAGAGUUGCAAAACUCCCAAACCCUUUGUGAAUUCUACUCGCAACCGUUCUGGGUGCUCUUCGUUGCUUCGGCGCGGGUUGGGGUCCUGGUGCGCGACAGCGCCCGGGCGCCCCCCCGCGCCGGAGGGCCGAAGCCCCACAACACCAAAACUCUUCUGUCUUCAGCGUAUUCUCUGAGUGUGGAAACACAAAUGAAUCAAAACUUUCAACAACGGAUCUCUUGGUUCUGGCAUCGAUGAAGAACGCAGCGAAAUGCGAUAAGUAAUGUGAAUUGCAGAAUUCAGUGAAUCAUCGAAUCUUUGAACGCACAUUGCGCCCGCCAGCAUUCUGGCGGGCAUGCCUGUCCGAGCGUCAUUUCAACCCUCAAGAACCCCUCGCGGUUCUUGGUGUUGGGGCGCUACGGGGACCCCGAUCUCUCGGGGCGACCGUAGGCCCCCAAAUGCAGUGGCGGGCUCGUAGUGGUCCCGGGCGUAGUAGUUAUAUUCUCGCCCUGGGAGCCGCUGCGGGUGCUUCCGGCCAUCGACCGCUCCGCGAGGAGCAGCCGUACCACAAGGUUGACCUCGGAUCAGGUAGGACUACCCGCUGAACUUAAGCAUAUCAAUAAGCGGAGGAAAAGAAACCAACAGGGAUUGCCCUAGUAACGGCGAGUGAAGCGGCAACAGCUCGAAUUUGAAAUCUGGCUCCCUUUGGGGGUCCGAGUUGUAAUCUGCAGAGGAUGCUUCGGGCGAGGUUCCCACCGAGUUCCCUGGAACGGGACGCCACAGAGGGUGAGAGCCCCGUAUGGUGGGAGGCCAAGCCUGUGUGAAGCUCCUUCGACGAGUCGAGUAGCUUGGGAAUGCUGCUCUAAAUGGGAGGUAGACUUCUUCUAAAGCUAAAUACCGGCCAGAGACCGAUAGCGCACAAGUAGAGUGAUCGAAAGAUGAAAAGCACUUUGAAAAGAGGGUCAAACAGUACGUGAAAUUGUUGAAAGGGAAGCGCCUAUGGCCAGACUUGCGCCGGGCCGAUCAUUCAGCGGUCUCCGCUGGUGCACUCGGCCCGUUGCAGGCCAGCGUCGGCUGUCCUGGGGGGAUAAAAGCAGUGGGAACGUAGCUCCCUCCGGGGAGUGUUAUAGCCCGCUGCACAAUACCUCCGGGGCGGCCGAGGUCCGCGCCCUCGUGGCAAGGACGCUGGCGUAAUGGCCAUCAGCGACCCGUCUUGAAACACGGACCAAGGAGUCGAGGUUUUACGCGAGUGUUCGGGUGUCAAGCCCCAGCGCGUAAUGAAAGUGAACGUAGGUGGGAGCCUUCGGGCGCACCAUCGACCGAUCCUGAUGUCUUCGGAUGGAUUUGAGUAAGAGCGUAAAGCCUCGGACCCGAAAGAUGGUGAACUAUGCCUGUAUAGGGUGAAGCCAGAGGAAACUCUGGUGGAGGCUCGCAGCGGUUCUGACGUGCAAAUCGAUCGUCAAAAUAUGGGCAUGGGGGCGAAAGACUAA